Molecule: ribosomal RNA, 440 nt
Filed under: uncultured bacterium
Lineage: Bacteria
Description: bacterial SSU rRNA
Rfam family: Bacterial small subunit ribosomal RNA
Source: RNAcentral
UACGGAAGGCAGCAGUGGGGAAUAUUGCACAAUGGGCGCAAGCCUGAUGCAGCCAUGCCGCGUGUAUGAAGAAGGCCUUCGGGUUGUAAAGUACUUUCAGUCGUGAGGAAGGUGUUAAGGUUAAUAACCUUAGCAAUUGACGUUAGCGACAGAAGAAGCACCGGCUAACUCCGUGCCAGCAGCCGCGGUAAUACGGAGGGUGCGAGCGUUAAUCGGAAUUACUGGGCGUAAAGGGCACGCAGGCGGUUAAUUAAGUUGGAUGUGAAAUCCCCGGGCUUAACCUGGGAAUGGCAUUCAAGACUGGUUAGCUAGAGUCUUGUAGAGGGGGUAGAAUUCCAUGUGUAGCGGUGAAAUGCGUAGAGAUGUGAGGAAUACCGGUGGCGAAGGCGGCCCCUGGACAAAGGACUGACGCUCAUGUGCGAAAGCGUGGGGAGCGAAAC